RNAcentral lists this ribosomal RNA (506 nucleotides) under uncultured bacterium. Its description in RNAcentral is "partial 16S ribosomal RNA". It matches the Rfam family "Bacterial small subunit ribosomal RNA", at positions 28 to 523 of the family's 1533-position model. The record is from RNAcentral.
GAUGAACGCUAGCUACAGGCUUAACACAUGCAAGUCGAGGGGUAACAAGAGAAAAGCUUGCUUUUCUUGUUGACGACCGGCGCACGGGUGAGUAACGCGUAUCCAACCUGCCUAUAACUAGGGAAUAACCUUGCGAAAGUAAGACUAAUACCCUAUGAUUUCCUUUUAUGACAUCAGAUUAGGAAUAAAGAUUUAUCGGUUAUAGAUGGGGAUGCGUCUGAUUAGCUUGUUGGCGGGGUAACGGCCCACCAAGGCAACGAUAAGUAGGAGUUCUGAGAGGAAGGUCCCCCACAUUGGAACUGAGCCACGGUCCAAACUCCAACGGGAGGCAGCAGUGAGGAAUAUUGGUCAAUGGGCGGAAGCCUGAACCAGCCAAGUAGCGUGCAGGAUGACGGCCCUAUGGGUUGUAAACUGCUUUUAUACAGGAAUAAAGUUAGCCACGUGUGGUUAUUUGGAGGUACUGUAUGAAUAAGGACCGGCUAAUUCCGUGCCAGCCGCCGCUGUAA